GUUCCCUCUAAGCUGUGCGUGUGUGCGCGCGCACAUAGAUCCUAAACCCCGCGCACCUGGGGAAACACCACAUGCACAAAAAUUUCCAUAGAAGCACAACAAUUUGCACAGAAGAAAUUUUUUGCACACACGGCCUGUCAAAAAUUAGAGGGAACAUUGCCUGGAACCAUUGC
This is a long non-coding RNA of Chelonia mydas (Green sea turtle), 173 nucleotides long. RefSeq lists it as uncharacterized. NCBI's taxonomy places the organism in Eukaryota, Metazoa, Chordata, Testudines, Cheloniidae. The transcript has 3 exons. The record is from RefSeq and is a predicted model, not a curated record.